This 229-nucleotide ribosomal RNA is filed under the name uncultured bacterium. Its description in RNAcentral is "partial 16S ribosomal RNA". It matches the Rfam family "Bacterial small subunit ribosomal RNA", at positions 524 to 751 of the family's 1533-position model. The record is from RNAcentral.
GACAGAGGGUGCAAACGUUGUUCGGAAUUACUGGGCGUAAAGCGCGUGUAGGCGGCUAAGUAAGUCGGGCGUGAAAUCCCACGGCUCAACCGUGGAAGUGCACUCGAAACUGCAUAGCUAGAGUCCUGGAGAGGAAGGUGGAAUGCUUGGUGUAGAGGUGAAAUUCGUAGAUAUCAAGCGGAACACCGGUGGCGAAGGCGGCCUUCUGGACAGUGACUGACGGCUGAGA